RNAcentral lists this ribosomal RNA (526 nucleotides) under Penicillium citrinum. RNAcentral describes it as "eukaryotic LSU rRNA". The stretch from base 143 to 296 matches the Rfam family "5.8S ribosomal RNA". Lineage: Eukaryota; Fungi; Ascomycota; Eurotiomycetes; Eurotiales; Aspergillaceae. The record is from RNAcentral.
GUUGCGAGUGCGGGCCCUCGGGGCCCAACCUCCCACCCGUGUUGCCCGAACCUAUGUUGCCUCGGCGGGCCCCGCGCCCGCCGACGGCCCCCCUGAACGCUGUCUGAAGUUGCAGUCUGAGACCUAUAACGAAAUUAGUUAAAACUUUCAACAACGGAUCUCUUGGUUCCGGCAUCGAUGAAGAACGCAGCGAAAUGCGAUAACUAAUGUGAAUUGCAGAAUUCAGUGAAUCAUCGAGUCUUUGAACGCACAUUGCGCCCUCUGGUAUUCCGGAGGGCAUGCCUGUCCGAGCGUCAUUGCUGCCCUCAAGCCCGGCUUGUGUGUUGGGCCCCGUCCCCCCCGCCGGGGGGACGGGCCCGAAAGGCAGCGGCGGCACCGCGUCCGGUCCUCGAGCGUAUGGGGCUUCGUCACCCGCUCUAGUAGGCCCGGCCGGCGCCAGCCGACCCCCAACCUUUAAUUAUCUCAGGUUGACCUCGGAUCAGGUAGGGAUACCCGCUGAACUUAAGCAUAUCAAUAAGCGGAGGAA